UUCGGAAUGAAGUUUUUGUGACUGAGUGGCGGACGGGUGAGUAACGCGUGGGUAACCUGCCUCAUACAGGGGGAUAACAGUUGGAAACGACUGCUAAUACCGCAUAAGCGCACAGGAUUGCAUGAUCCAGUGUGAAAAACUCCGGUGGUACAGGAUGGACCCGCGUCUGAUUAGCUGGUUGGUGAGGUAACGGCUCACCAAGGCGACGAUCAGUAGCCGGACUGAGAGGUUGAUCGGCCACAUUGGGACUGAGACACGGCCCAGACUCC
RNAcentral lists this ribosomal RNA (269 nucleotides) under uncultured Eubacteriales bacterium. Its description in RNAcentral is "uncultured Clostridiales bacterium partial 16S ribosomal RNA". It matches the Rfam family "Bacterial small subunit ribosomal RNA", at positions 71 to 339 of the family's 1533-position model. Lineage: Bacteria; Bacillati; Bacillota; Clostridia; Eubacteriales. The record is from RNAcentral.